GACGAACGCUGGCGGCGUGCUUAACACAUGCAAGUCGAACGGCAAGGCCCUUCGGGGUCCUCGAGAGGCGAACCGGGUAGUGACACGUGGGGGAUCUGCUCUGCACUUUGGUUUUAGUCUGGGAUACUGGGUCUAAUACCGCGUAGGACCACGCGCCUACUGGUGUGUGGUGGCAAGCUUUUGCGGGGUGGGAUGGGCCCGCGGCCUAUCAGCUUGUUGGUGGAGGAAUGGGCUACCAAGGCCCCGACGGGUAGCCGGCCUGAGAGGGUGGCCGGCCACAAGGGGCCUGCGGUACGGACCAGACGCCUACGGGAGGCAGCGGUGGGGAAUAUUGCACAAUGAGCCCAAGCCUGAUGCAGCGACGCCGCGGUAGGGAUGACGGCCUUCGGGUUGUAAACCGCUGUCAGUUGGGACGAAGCGGAAGUGACGGUACCUAUAGAAGAAGCACCGGCCAACUACGUG
Molecule: ribosomal RNA, 462 nt
Filed under: uncultured bacterium
Lineage: Bacteria
Description: partial 16S ribosomal RNA
Rfam family: Bacterial small subunit ribosomal RNA
Source: RNAcentral